This 450-nucleotide ribosomal RNA is filed under the name uncultured Glomeromycotina. RNAcentral's name for it is "SSU rRNA". It matches the Rfam family "Eukaryotic small subunit ribosomal RNA", at positions 569 to 1024 of the family's 1831-position model. Lineage: Eukaryota; Fungi; Glomeromycota. The record is from RNAcentral.
AGCAGCCGCGGUAAUUCCAGCUCCAAUAGCGUAUAUUAAAGUUGUUGCAGUUAAAAAGCUCGUAGUUGAAUUUCGGAACCAAUAUGUCGGUCGUGCCUCGGUACGUACUGGUGUCAUUGGUUUCUCCCUUCUGAGGAUCCUUGAUGUCAUUAAUUUGGUGUCUUGGGGAAUCAGGACUGUUACCUUGAAAAAAUUAGAGUGUUUAAAGCAGGCAUACGCUUGAAUACAUUAGCAUGGAAUAAUGAAAUAGGACGUUCGAUUCUAUUUUGUUGGUUUCUAGGAUCGACGUAAUGAUUAAUAGGGAUAGUUGGGGGCAUUAGUAUUCAAUUGUCAGAGGUGAAAUUCUUGGAUUUAUUGAAGACUAACUACUGCGAAAGCAUUUGCCAAGGAUGUUUUCAUUAAUCAAGAACGAAAGUUAGGGGAUCGAAGACGAUCAGAUACCGUCGUAGU